UCGUAAAUGUUAUUGGCUGUUUAUGGAGAAGUAUCAUGUCGACGAAUCCUAAUUGUUUUCAACAAAAUAUGUGACAAGGACUACUCUUUAAGUAAUCAUAUAAUGUUUGGGCAUAAGUGUUGACAUCUUUGUAUUGAUGUCAUCAUCUUCUCAUCACUUGUGAAGUACUUACCCCAUGCAAGAACGGUAGCUAGUCAAAUAGUAUCCAAGAACGGUAGUAUGAUGGGCAUAUGGUGUAUUAUUAUAUGGUGGAAAUUUUAGAUGGGUCUUCUAUAUAAGAUACUAGUUGUUGACCCGCGCUACGCGCGUGAGUUUUAUAAUUAUUUUUUUAUAUUUUAAAAUUUAUAUUUUGAUUUUUUUUGUUUUUACUUUUGUUUUUGUAUUAAUUUAGUAUAUGAAAUGUUUAUUGUUAUUUGUUAAACUUUGAUUUAGGUCAAAUAUUAGCUGUUAUAACCUUACAUUUCAAAAGCCUUCAAUUCUUGUAGGCCAAAUUGUUUUGGUGAAUCCACUUAUUUAUUUAUCCAAGUGUUUUUAUUUUACUUUUUAGUUUUUUUUUUCUACUUC
This 564-nucleotide long non-coding RNA is filed under the name Capsella rubella. Its description in RNAcentral is "long non-coding RNA (CRUB_LNC004312)". The record is from RNAcentral. Lineage: Eukaryota; Viridiplantae; Streptophyta; Magnoliopsida; Brassicales; Brassicaceae.